AAACUUUGUCAGAUAUUGCUGUCUCAGCAGCUUGGUCACUCUCCUCUCUGGCAGCUUUAUAUGCCUUUUUCGCUUCUUCCUCAUCUUCUGUCCCUUCUUUGUCCACCAUACUGUUGUACAGGUCUAUCUGGAAAUGAAUAUCAUACAGCAGCAAACAGAGAAUGACUCAGGAUAUGUGAUUCAAAUUAAAAUAUUGAAGUAAUGCCAAUAAAUGCUCUGAGCAAUAACAUAUGUUAAGAAUUAUAAAUGAAUACCAUACUGUUGUACAGGUCUAUCUGGAAAUGAAUAUCAUACAGCAGCAAACAGAGAAUGAAGGAGGAUAUGUGAUUCAAAUUAAAAUAUUGAAGUAAGGCCAAUAAAUGCUCUGAGCAAUAACAUAUGUUAAGAAUUAUAAAUGAUCCAUAAAGUUCAGUCAGAAAGAUGACUUGGAGUCAACAAUAUGCAUAAACAAGUAGACUCUAAACGAACAACUCACACAAAGAACAUCAGCAAAUACAUUAA
RNAcentral lists this long non-coding RNA (501 nucleotides) under Jatropha curcas. RNAcentral's name for it is "long non-coding RNA (JCUR_LNC002039)". Lineage: Eukaryota; Viridiplantae; Streptophyta; Magnoliopsida; Malpighiales; Euphorbiaceae. The record is from RNAcentral.